RNAcentral lists this ribosomal RNA (460 nucleotides) under uncultured bacterium. RNAcentral's name for it is "partial 16S ribosomal RNA". It matches the Rfam family "Bacterial small subunit ribosomal RNA", at positions 338 to 795 of the family's 1533-position model. The record is from RNAcentral.
CCUACGGGAGGCUGCAGUGAGGAAUAUUGGUCAAUGGACGAGAGUCUGAACCAGCCAAGUAGCGUGAAGGAUGACUGCCCUAUGGGUUGUAAACUUCUUUUAUAAAGGAAUAAAACGAGGCACGUGUGCCGUUUUGCAUGUACUUUAUGAAUAAGGAUCGGCUAACUCGGUGCCAGCAGCCGCGGUAAUACGGAGGAUCCGAGCGUUAUCCGGAUUUAUUGGGUUUAAGGGGAGCGUAGAUGGUUUGUUAAGUCAGUUGUGAAAGUUUGCGGCUCAACCGUAAAAUUGCAAUUGAUACUGGCAGUCUUGAGUACAGUUGAGGUAGGCGGAAUUCGUGGUGUAGCGGUGAAAUGCUUAGAUAUCACGAAGAACCCCGAUUGCGAAGGUAGCUUACUAAACUGUGACUGACAUUGAUGCUCGAAAGUGUGGGUAUCAAACAGGAUUAGAUACCCUUGUAGUC